CGGCAAGGCAACCUAGUUGGGUUACCUUGUCUUUUGUGGAGGUUUUGUUCCUUUGCUCUUUGCAAUAAAUUUUGCUGCUGCUAAGUAGUUGGGUCCGUGGUGCUUUAAAGAGCUGUAACACUCACUGCGGAGGUCUGCAGUUUCACUCCUGAAGCUAGUGAGACCAGGAGCCUGCCAGAAGGAAAAAACUCUGGACAUGUUCAAACAUCGGAAGGAACAAAUUCCAGACACACUAUCUUUAAGAACUGUAACACUCAACCGUGAGGGUCCGCGGAUUCAUUCUUGAAGUCAGUGAGACCAAGAACCCACCAAUUCCGGACACACCUGGAAUUCUUUGGAAGGCUGAAGCAAGAGGAUCAUUUGAGGCCAGGAGUUUGAGAAAUUCUAUGUGAUAUAAAGCAGAUGCAUAAAAUUUGCCCACAUCUGCAACUUACUUAUAAAAUGUUUUUUUCAAGAGACUGGAACUUCUAGUGCAUAAAUACAGUUUGGGUUUAAAAACCCAGAAUCCUGAAAAAAAUGGCUCUACUUAAAAAACGACUGUUUUUGGUAGUUGAACAGUAAUUUAAAGGGCUCUUCAGUGACGUUAGAAAUCAUUAAAUCCAAUUCUUUCCUUUUAAAUGUAAGGAAGCUGUUGAAGAAAAGUCCCAUGCUGUGUUUUAUGUUUUGAAGCCGAGGCCAAAUGUGGAGAUGGCAUAACCAGAAGAGGGAACGAACUGGCCUGGAUGUGACUCAUGCUUGGAAGGGAGCUGUCUGGAAGGACCACAGUACCUGCAGCCAACUUUGUGUGAGAAAGAAGUGAAGUAUAGCCAUUGAGUAGGCUGCCAAUAGUGCCUGCCAGAGACACUCAGGAGAGAUUAUAUGCUAAAUCCACCAGACCCUUUGUCUAAGGGCAGGACGUCACCUCUUCAGAAACUGUUUUUCUUCUUGUGGUAAUUAUUAAUUCUCUGCAGUGAUUUAGAAGAAUUCUUGUACUAAAU
Molecule: long non-coding RNA, 977 nt
Filed under: Homo sapiens (human)
Lineage: Eukaryota; Metazoa; Chordata; Mammalia; Primates; Hominidae
Description: non-protein coding lnc-NCOA1-1:1
Source: RNAcentral